Molecule: transfer RNA, 72 nt
Filed under: Mallomonas splendens
Lineage: Eukaryota; Synurophyceae; Synurales; Mallomonadaceae
Description: tRNA-Val
Rfam family: tRNA
About the family: Transfer RNA (tRNA) molecules are approximately 80 nucleotides in length. Their secondary structure includes four short double-helical elements and three loops (D, anti-codon, and T loops).
Source: RNAcentral
AGAUGGUUAGCUCAGCGGUAGAGCGUCUGCCUUACAAGCAGAGGGUCACUGGUUCGAAUCCUGUACCGUCUA